Molecule: ribosomal RNA, 440 nt
Filed under: uncultured bacterium
Lineage: Bacteria
Description: partial 16S ribosomal RNA
Rfam family: Bacterial small subunit ribosomal RNA
Source: RNAcentral
CUACGGGAGGCUGCAGUCAAGAACAUUGGACAAUGGACGAAAGUCUGAUCCAGCGACGCCGCGUGCAGGAAGACGGCCUUCGGGUUGUAAACUGCUUUUGCGUGGGAAGAACUUUGACGGUACCACGCGAAUAAGAGGUUGCUAAACUCGUGCCAGCAGCAGCGGUAAUACGAGUACCUCGAGCGUUAUCCGAAGUUAUUGGGCGUAAAGGGCAGGUAGCCGGUUGGUAGAGUCUGGCGUUAAAUCUCAUGGCCCAACCAUGAAAUCGCGCCAGAAACGUAUCAGCUAGAGCGAGUCAGAGGCAUGCGGAACGUGCGGUGUAGGGGUGGAAUCCGUUGAUAUCGCACGGAACACCAAAAGCGAAGGCAGUAUGCUGGGGCUCUGCUGACGGUGAGCUGCGAAAGCGUGGGUUUGGAAAAGGAUUAGAUACCCUCGUAGUC